GGGGCAGAGAGAGAAGGAGAUACAGAAUCCAAAGCAGGCUCCAGGCUCUAGGCUCUGAGCUGUCAGCACAGAGCCUGAUGUGGGGCUCAAACUCACGAACUGUGAGAUCAUGACCUGAGCCAAAGUUGGACACUCAACCGACUGAGCCACCCAGACACCCCUAAUUCAAUCAAUAUUUAAAUUAAGAAAGCACAAAGCACAAAUAUUGAAUACAUUUUGAUAAUCUGUAUUUAUAUGAGAAUGUUGAUAAAAUAGGUAAAAUGAAAAAUAUGGAUAUGGCAUUUCUUUUGCUUUCUGUCCUUAUUUGUGAUCCAUUGUCCUUUUAAUGUGUAAUAAAACAAUUUGAUAGGUUCUAGAUAUAGCCACAGAUUGACCUAUCAUCAAGAGGUGAAGUCUGUUUCCACAUUUCUUUAAAUUUGACCUGUGAUUUGCUCUGUCCCAUAGAAUGCAGCAGAAGUGAUAUUUUUCCAGUUCUAACCCUAGGCCUUGAGAAGUCGUGAAGCUUCCAUUCUCAUUCUAGAAAUGAUGACGGAGAGUGAAAAUCCAUGUGGAUGGGGCGCCCAGCUGCCUCUGCCUUCCCAGCCAUCUCAGUCGAGGCCCACACCUGCGAGUGAACCCAGCUGAGAACACAGUAAACACAGCCCAAAUUACCAAGUCACAGAACAGUGAGUCGAAUCAUUGUUCCUGUUUUAAGCUGCUACCUUUCAGUAUGUUUUAUUAAGCAGCAGUAGAUAACAGAUACAAAUAGGAGCAAGAUCAUGAGCUGAGCAUGAAAGAUGGAGGCUGUGUUUGAAGGUUAAAGAGAAGCCCGAAAUGGAGAGGGUUUGAGAUGGUGUAUCUAUGUAUCCUGGGGAAAUAUAGUAGGGCUGCUGGAGAGCAUGAGGACUUCAUCUGAGGGUGCGUGCUUUGUCGCUCAUGUACAUUGUUGCCUGUUUGCUGGGUUAUCUCAUUGCUUUGGGCAGCAGCUAGACUGCCACCACAACACCCCCUGGAUUCUCCUUCAGCUUCUCCAUCCCUUGGGUCAGGGAUGUGUCUCACUCCUUCAUGGAGGGCCUCAGUAUCUCCAGCAGCAAGGUGCCCAGCUUAAGGUUGGAAGUGGUGAGAGACUGAAAUGGCUUCCCAUCUGUCCUUGUGGGUUCUAAUUUGUUUUCUCUCCAUUUUUAUAUUCUUCCUUUUUAACUGCCUGCCCUGUGGACAGUUCUAGCUUUGGACAUGAAGAUAACAGCCUUACCGAAGGAAAGAGCAUGAGUAGGGGAAGAGCAGAGAGAGGGAGACACAGAAUCCGAAGCAGGCUCCGGGCUCUGAUCUGUCAGCACAGAAUCCAGUGCGGGGCUCGAACUUACAAACUUGUGAGAUCAUGACCUGAGCUGAAGUCAAGACACUUAGCCGACUGAACCACCCAGGCGGGCCUGACGUUGGGCUAGAUUUGAAAAUCUUGUGGCUCCUUCCCUCAUAGUUCCACCCUGACCCCAUGGAAUGCUGGAUUAUUCUCUUCACCCUCUUGGUCUGCCAUUGGCAUCCCAGAUUGUCUUCAGUCAGAUCACAUGGGUUAUAAUUAAGGAAAACACUUGGGGGAGAGAAGCAUUAUAUUAAAAAGAAUGGAUAUACUUUCUCAUUUUGAAACAUACUUACGAGCCUCAAGAGGCAGAGCAGAAAUUCCCCAGAAGACAACUGCUGAAGUGAGGAGGAAUGAAGACUGGGCUCUUUCUCUGAGCAGGUGACCUGUCUAGAAAAAUAUAGCUGUGGCUGGUGACAGAGAAAUUUUACUGCCUGUGCUCUCUACUAGGAUUUUUAUGGUUUCAGGUCUCACAAAUAGAGUACCUUUGUGUUGAAUCUAUACCAUGUUAUACUUCCCUUUCAUAACUCUUUGAAAGAAGUUCCUUUGGUGAUGGAGGCAUAGUUUUCUAAUCUUUACAAGCCAAACCUCCCUCCUGCCCCAACCCAGAUGGAAGACAAACUGAUUCCUGCACACGUGGUCCUACUCUGUGUGUGUUUGUGUGUGAUGCACUACCUCUUCUCUCGAGUGAACCAGGCACAUUAAAGAGCACAGCUCCCAUUCUCCAAGGGAUUCUAUCUCUUUGCCAACAUCUGCAGAACAUUUCCGUGAAAAAUAUCCAAUGGUUAUUCAGACUUCUUCAUCUGUAUAGAAACUUCCAGGUGCUCAGCCAGACUGACUGACAGCUGCUUCUUAAACAUCAUCAAAAGUGAGUCACAUUAUGGAAAAUUAGCCUGGGAGAAGAUGUAUAGCAUUCCCAGUAACAAAUUUAUGGACAUCUGUAGCGCUUAUUCAUUUUUGAGAGACACAGAGAGAGUAUGAGCCGGGAAGAGGCAGAGAGAGAGGGAGACACAGAAUCUGAAGCAGUCUCCAGGCUCUGAGCUGUCAACACAGAGCCCAACAUGGGGCUUGAACUCACAAACUGUGAGAUCAUGACCUGAGCCGAAGUCAGAAGUCGGACGCUCAACCUACUGAGCCACCCAGGAUUGUGGGUGAUCAUCCCCCAUGUUUGGAUGCUCAGUCUCAGCCCAUGGUGUUUGACAGAAAAAAGUGAUUUUUUCACAAUGUUGGAAGGUGCCCACAACAGGUACUGGUAUAUUUUUUGUCACUUUAGAGCACCUAUGGACAGUCUUUUGCUUUUCCAUACAACAGUAAGCUUAGGAAUGCUUUGCUUCAUUCUAGGUCAGGAUGUCUGCAGAUAUAGACCCUUUCCUCUGCUACCUUAUUGCCAGUUACAUUAAAUACAGUAAAUAAGAAGAGUUCAUUAAUACUGUACUGUAGUCAACAUCCGUUAGUGAUAGUGAAAGUUAUCGUACACAAUAACUCUCCUCUCUCUUAUUUCCCUCACACCAGCCACAAAGGUUUUCAAAAGUAAGUGCAGGUUAACUUGUUUAUUUUUGUUUAUAUUUUAUAUUUUAUUUAUUAUUUUGUAUCAUAUUAGAGUAUUGUAAUCAUUUUUAUAUGAAUAUUUUUGAGUUGUGAAAUGAUUCAUCUGAGUUUCCAUUAUUUCUUAUGGGGAAAUUCACUUUGAUAUAUAAGUGUUUUGGAUUAUAAGCAUGUUUCUGGAACAAAUUAUGCUUGCAAACCAAGGUUUUACUGUAUUCUAGAUUGGUCUUUUCAUUUUAAAAAUUAGGAUAAUGUUCUUGUAGAAAUUACCUGGUUCAUGGAAGAGUAGAUAGCUGUCAAAAAGAUUAUUUGAAUUUCAGUUUCAUAUUAUUUUUCCCUAUUGUUCUCUCUUGAUUGACUUAAACAUUUUAGAGCACUAACCCAAUAUAGUCUCAUUCAUUCAUUUAUUCAGUGUCCAUUUCUAUUAGAAUAUAAGUCCCUUUUGGGCAGAAUUUUGUUCUUAAUCAUUGUAUCCUCAGUACUUGAACAGUGUCCAGAAAAAAAUGUGUGUUCAGAAAAUGGAUGUUGAAUAAAUUAAGUAAUUGUGAAUAAAACUUGCCAUUCACUCCAAUAAAUUAUUGUAGCGUGACUUCUAUCAUGGCCACCCUAAAGAGUGUUUUCUGGCAGAGUUCACCAUUGAACUUUAUUUCCAAAUGCAAGUAUCACUUUUUAGUUUUUUUUUUCCAACAUAGCUUUUGCAUUAAGUAUUAUUCUUGGAAAAAUGAUUUUCAUAAAAUAAAAUACAUGAGUUUUUAAUUAUCUCUGAGUAACCUGUGUGACUCCCUGUGUAACUACCACCCUAGUUAGGAGAUACUGUGUUUAUGUCACCCUGUAAGUUUUCCAUAUGCUUUUUUCCGUCAAUUCUCCUCUCACCAUAGGUAACCAUUGCUGUGAUUUCUACUAUGCAGGUUAAUUCUGUCUUUUCCUGCACAUUACUUAAAUGGGAUUAUAGAUGAUAUAUACUUUUGUAUCUGUAUUCUUUUGAUAAAAUUAAUAUUUUUGAGAUGCAUCUGUGGCAUGACAUUGUUCAGUUACUUUUGCAUUUUUAUUGGAAUGUAGUAUGUCAUUGCAUGAAUAUACCAAAAUGUAUUACUUAUUCUCCUGUUGAUAGACACCUGGGCUCUUUUGAGUUUUUCCCUAUGGUGAUUAAAGCUGCUAUAUAUGUUCUGAUAAAUAUCUUUUCUGAGUAUAUACAUUUUCUUUCUUUUCCUUUUUCUUUCUUUUUUUUUGAGGGGACAAUGUCUUAAUGAGGAAUUCCUGGGGUAUAAAAUGGUUUUAUAUUUAAAUUUAAAAGAUAUCGUCAAAGUUUUUCAAAAGGUUGUACCAUUUUGUAUCCUCACAAGCAAUAGUGAGGGACUAUUAAUUAUUUUAUGUUUUCUUCAAUAAUCUUUUCCGUUUUAGCCUCUUAAUGGGUGUUUAGUGCGCACACACACACAAGUGAGGGGAGGCAGAGAGAGAGGGGGACAGAGGAUCUGCAGCAGGGUCUCUGCUGAGAGCAGACAGCCUGAUGUGGGGCUUGGACUCAGGAACUGCAAGAUCAUGACCUGGGCAGAAGUUGGAGGCUUAACCGACCGAGUCACCCAGGCGCCCCUGCUGUUUUAUUUUUAUUACGCUGAUGACAAAUGAUGGUGAGCAACUUUUUUGAUGCUUAUUGGCUCUUCGUAUGUCUUCAUUUUUAAGUGUCUGUUGUUCAAGCAGUCCAACUGUUUUUAACAGAUGAGUGAUUUGGUCUCUGUAUUAUCGAUUUGUAGGCGUUCAUAUGUAUACAUAUAUACUUCAUAUGUUGAUUUAUAUAUGUUCUUCAUUGUGGGUUUACUUUGCCUUUUAACAUUUAAUUUUAAUUAACCCUAUAUUGUCAUUUUUAUUUGUCCUAGCUUAGAAUUUUUUUUUAUCUAUUAAAAAAAAACCUUAUCUAUCUCAAGGGCUUGUUAAGAUAUUCUAAGUUGUCUGCUAGAUGCUCUAUAUGUUUAACUUUUGCAUUUAGGUCUAUAAAUUUACUUUAAGUAGAUUUUUGCAGAUGAUGUGAGAUAGGGGCUAAAGUAAAUCUCUCCAUAUAUAGAUUUAUAAUGUUUACAGCAUGAUUUGUUGGAAACACCAUCAUUUCUCCACUGGGUUAUAAUUACACCUUCUUCAAAAAUCAAUUGGCCAUGUAUGUGUGGGUUGAUUUUCAUGCUUUCCAUUUGGAUCCAUUGAUUGAAAUGUUUACCCUUGAGUGAAUAAUAUAGUCAUGAUAGAUCAGUUUUAUGGUAUCCUUUAAAAUCAGCUAUUGUAAGCCUUCCAGUUUUAUUUUUCCUUUUCAAAAUUAUUUUGCUCUUUUAAAUCCUUUGCAUUUUCCUAUAGAAUAGAGAAUUAGCUUGUCAAUAUCUAUAAAAGAAAACCGUUGAAUAGGAUUGCAUUGAAUCUAUGUAAAAUUUUGGAGAGCAUUUAUACUUUAACAAUGAGUCUUAUUUGUAAAUAUAGACACAUUAGGAACAUUUUGUUUAGUUUAUAAAUAUUUGGAGAUUUUGGAGAUGUCUUAUUGUUAUGUAUAUUAUAUUUCAUCUAUUUUCCAAGAAACAUGAUCUGUGUGAUUAUAUUCCUUGACACUUUUUGAUAAUGUUCUGAGGCUUUGCAUAUGGUCUAUUUUGUUUUAUGUUCCUUGUGUAUUUAGAGUGAAUUGAAUGUGAGCCCUGCAAGUUUUAUUUAAGAAUCUAAGAAUGAAGAUAAAGUAAAAUUGUUAAUACAGUUGUUCAAAUUUUCUAAAGCCAAAAUUUUUUUAAAAAGCAUAUUUAUUUAUUUUGAGGGAGAGAGAGAGAGAGAGAGAGAGUGAGAGAGAGAGAACAUACCCAAAUGGGAGCAUUGUACAGAGGGAGAGUGAGAGAAUCCCAAGCAGUCUCAGCACUGUCAGCACAGAGCCCAGCAUAGGGCUCAAACUCAGAAAUGAUGUGAUCAUGACCUGAGCUGAAAUCAAGAGUCAGACACUUAUCUGACUGAGCCACCCAGGUGCCCCUAAAGCCAAACUUUCUUAAACUUUUUACUUUCUACUUACUAGGAGUGGAGUGUUAAAUUAAAUCUCUAAAUAUGAUUGGCAUAUGAUAAUGACUUUUUGGAUUUAUCCCUUUAGUGCUAACAAAUUUGGCUUCAUGCAUUCAGAAACUCAAGCUCUAUUAUUAGGUGUUUCAGUAUGAAUAAUUUUUGUUGACCUGUCUACAAGGUAAGUGACCCAUUCCUUUGUAAUUUCAAAUCUAUUAUUAAUCACAUGCAAUGAAUUUUUAGUGUCACAUAUUACAUUAUCUAAUUCCUAGUACUUACAUUGGUUAUUUAAAUAAUUUUCGUAUCUCUCCUGCAAUUUCCCAUUGCUUUAACAACUAAACCUAUAUGUUUCUUCAAAUUCUUUAACAUUAUGUUAAACACUAUGCUCACAUUAGUUAAAAUAGCUAUUUUAAAGUCCUUUAAUUGAGGUCAUUUGUGGGGGCUAAUUUCUAUUUGAUGAUUAUUGUUAGUAUGGGUCAUAUUUUUCUGUCUUUUUGGAAGUCUAGUAACAGUUGAAUCUAUACUCAUUAAGUUGAAGAAUCCAAAAAUCCAAAAUCUUCCUCUAAAUAGAGUGCUAGGCUUUAUUUUAGCAGAUUCUUAUAUUAAUGAUGGUCUGCAUUCUUUCAUGGAGGCUUGGUUUGAGGCUUUAUUGGGACAGAUCUAUUUUGGUAUUGCCCUUGUUCCUAGAAUAUUCCUUCCGGGGUUUCAAUGGAAAGUUCAAAAUGGUGACCAUACCCAUCCCAGUUGGCAGGACUUGAACUCCAAAUGUAGUUUUCCAACCAUUGGGCAACUGCUGAAAUCUCUAAUCACCUUUUUAAGGUUAUCCACUCUUGUUUUAUCCUAGCUUAUAGGGAACCUUCCCUUCACAGGCAUAGUUCAGAAACUUGGAAUUCCUUUCUUUCUUCUUUUCUCCCCUAGAUUUUUAUCUGUUCUGGAUGUUCCGAAAUUUGCCUGUGAUACCUCCGCCCAAUUAGAUGACCAUUUUCUACAAGAUCUCUAUUCUUUGGGUGCCAGGGGGACUGAGGAGUACACUUCCAAUAAAAACCUGGUAAAUGGGAUCUUAUCACUGUUUUUCCUUUCUUUCACUGUUUUUGUCUGCUUCACUUUCAGCCUGCUUUUGAUUGCUCACCAGUACCUCUGGACUAUGUGUGCAUUCAUAUUCCAUAGUCUAGAAUUUUUAACAACACGAGGGUUAGGGUGAUACAAACUACAUUGCCAUUGUUGGAGUCUGGAAGUCAGUAUGUAGAAUGUGUUUUCAAACUAUUAUGUUUUUUUGCUUUCUGCAGUCCAGAAAGCCCUUUGGAUCUUUUUUUUUUUUUUUUUUUUUUAAGAUUCCCAGAAGCUCUCUUUCAUCCACCAUUCUUCUAAUUGCUGUUCCUCAGGCUUCCAUCUUUCGCCUAUAUUCUGCAUGUUCUUUCAUGGCUUUUAUAUUGUGCAAAAGCAUUUAUUACACCCAAAUAUAUUUUCCUUUGUUUUAUUCUUUACCUUGAUAUCAGUUAUUGCAACCAUUUACUGUACAUCUCUAUUAGAUUUGUCCCUCAAAUUCUUUACUGACUUGGCCCAAAUUCAGUGUCAGAUGAACAGUGGCCACUAUCACAUUCUUUGGAUUGGAGCCUGCCUCAAAAUCUCUGAACUCAAAGAGACAGAUACGGGUUUAGGAGGUGUGUGUGGGUUUUUUUCUGUCACAGUGGCAUUUUAGUGUAGGUCUCACAUUGUUGAUGCCAUUUUAAUUUUUCCCUUGGAGCAUGAGAUUCCAGAAUCUUGAAGCCAGAGCAGGUCACAAACUCAAGGAAAACAAGCUUCACUCAGUUUUAUGACCUGAAAUUCCCACAGCAAUACAUGAUUAGUCUCUCAGCAGAUAUCCCAGAGUCUUAUUUCUGUAAUACUCCUAAUAAGACACCUGUCACGUUUCAUUCAUAUCUGUAAUCAUUUCCUGUGUGAGGUACUUAAUAGGUAUUUGUUGACUAAAUUAAUUUAUUUAACAAACAUUUACUGAGCAUCUACAUUGCAUAGGUAUUUGGAAUAAAGCAAUCAGUGGGGGAGACAAAAAUCUCUAGUCUGUGGUAUAAAUGACGUUUAUAUAUAUAUAUAUAUAUAUAUAUAUAUAUAUAUAUAUAUAUAUAUAUGCCUACAUUUAUGACUAAACCACAGCUUAUUGUUCUGCUCCUACUUUCUUAAUCAUACUGGCCUGAGAGAUUCUGUGUCUGAUCAUAGCUUUCUCUGAAUCACUCAUCUUCCAAAUCUCAUAUCCAUUAUAAGCCUUUUAUGCCUAAACAUUGCUUAUUAUAAGCACUUUAUGACUAAACAUUCCUUAAAGAGUCAUGUCAUUUCUACCAAAACAUUCCACAAUUAUCGUUGAGUAUGUUAAGUCAGAUGCAUUUGAUAUUGCCAAAUACUACAUAAAUGACAUACCUUUACAAUUGCAUUUCCUAUAACUGUCAUUCAGAACAUUCUCUUUCUAAAGAUUUUUAUGAUCUGUAGAAUGUGGUUUGAAAAUCAAAGGAGUAUAAAGCAUUUUAAAAUAUUCCAGUCCUCCUUGAACAUGCAUAAUAGCCUUUGAAAAUAUACAUUUCUUGAAAUAGUGUCAUUUGCUAUGAGAUUUUUUUGUGCUAAUACAACUAAAAGCAACUGAAUUUUCAUAUAUUUAUUUUUUAAAUUAAAAACAAUUUUUUUUUUGAGAGAGAGUGAGCAAGUUGGGGAGGGGAGGAGAGAGAGGGAGAGAGAGAGAAUCCCAAGCAGUCUCCAUGCUGUCAGCACAGAGCCCGAUGUGGGGCUUAAUCCCACCAACUGUGAGAUCAUGACCUGAGCAGAAAUCGAGUUGGACACUUAAUUCACUGAGUCACCCAGGUGCCCCUUCAUAUAUUUUAAAAUAGAUCCUAUGUAGUUGACUACAAAGAAGUAACAUGUUACUGAAAGGAUAUAUGAAUAUAGUCACUCUUUUAUCAGAACGUGGCUUAUACUUUAAUAAGUUUAACAGAACAAUUUUUUAUUUUCUUACACCAAGAACCUUUGCUAUCUAGCUUGCCAUCAUUUUUAAAUGGAGAAAAAUCAGUAGAAUUUUUUUAAAGUAAAGUAAGAAAGAUAUAAUAAUAACUAACAUUAAUCAAGCUCCUCUAGUACACUGAGAACAUUUCAUGUUUUUCUCAUUUUGCUGGUGGUUUAGAAAAUGGGCUUUUAAAGAAAAAAAAUGUGAUCCAGAUCUUGGCUUUGCUGCUUGCUAGCUGUGUGACUUUGGACAAGUUACUUAAUCCCACUAGUUCUAAGGUCUUUUCUUGUAAAGUAGGGCUAAAAUGACUUCAAAGGAUUGUUUUGCUAAUUGUAUAGAACACCUACAAGUCACAGUGCUAUACACAUAGAUGGCACUCAAUAAUUUAGCUAAAAAUUAUUUUUAUUACAAACAACAUUGAAGGUAGGGUAUUAGACUCUCUUACAGCUGAGGAGAGUCAUUCUUUUACCAUUUAACCUGAAGAGUAGAAAUAUUUGUAUAGGAAUGGGGAACCAUUUUAUUUAUUUAAAACAUUUUUUUAAUGUUUAUUUUUGAGAGAGAGAGACAGAGCGUGAGCUGGGGAGGGACAGAGAGAGAGACACACAGAAUCUGAAGCAGGCUCCAGGCUCCGUGUUGUCAGUACAGAGCCUGACGCGGGGCUUGAACUCAUAAACCAUGAGAUCAUGGCCUGAGCCAAAGUUGGAUGCUCAAUGGACUGAGCCACCCAGGUGCUCCUGAAUGGGAAAUCAUUUUAGAUUUAACUACUCAGAUUUUAUUUGGCAAAUAUUUGGUGACCAAUGAGUUCAAACCUGUUCUGACACUAAAUCACUCAUAGAGUCUCAAAAAUAAGUUUACCAUAUUUGCCACUGAUGAAUUGUGGUAUAUGAAUUGUGUGUAUACAGAGACAUGUACAUACACGCACACCCAUGCACACUCACACAUUUUUACCUUUGGGCUGCCAAAUGCACUUAACCACUUAGUUUCCUUCAUUGUAGUUAUAAAUAAACUGUUUACCCACAUCAAUUUUUGAAGACUUCAUUUUUUAGAGUAGUUUUACGUUUAUAGAAAAAUUGAAAAGGACGUACAGGUGUACCCUUUCCCAUACAUGCAUAACCUUUACCAUUAUCAAUAUCUCCCACUGAAAUGGUACAUUUGUUACAACUGAUUAACCUACAUUGUAACAUCAUAAUUAUCCAAAGUCCAUAGUUUACCUUAGGGUUCAUUUUGGUGUUGCAUAUUCUAGGAGCUUGGAAAAAUGUUUGUUGACAUGUAUCUAUUAUCAUAGUAUCAUACUGAUAAAAAUCCUCUGUGCUUCACCCCCACAUCAUAUUGAAAUUGUAAUGUGAAAUUUACUUAGUUAUCAAUCUAUUAAAUUAAUUAGUAAUUAGGAAUUAGUAAUGAAACUAUAGGCUGAUAACUUCAGAAAUGAUGUUUUUCAUCCUUUUAAUCUUAAAAUAAAAUUGAUUUGCUUUCCGAAUACAUUGUAUGUCUUCUUUCUGAUAUACUGAAUAUAAAUGACAUCUUCCCCCCAAAGGCUUUGCUGGUAAUGUAGAGUUUUUUUGGUUUUAAUCUAUAUCAAAAGAAAGAGGUACAGUACGCUACUCUUCAUAACCAGUUUUUGUGUUUUUUUUUUAACAGAAAGGAUAGCUAAUAAUCCUCAUCCAUCCUUUUUGUCUCAACAAUUCAUUAUAAUGGCUUUUAUUUGGUUCACUAGUAGAGGUUCCACCAGGCCCCAUGUAUACAUUUUUAAAUUGCAGUUUGAAUCCUUCACACUAAAUCAUUUUGAUAGCAUAUUUUUUUUCCCUUUGGAGGUUAAAAAAACACAACUCUUGACUUAGUUUGAAGCAAAUAAUCCUUUUAAUGAGAAGAUGAACUCAGCCACAGCAUUUCUUUGAUUUUUUUUUUUGAGUACAAGCGUGUUAAUUAGAAAUGAGUCAAUGGUAGCAGGAAGAGUUGAUACCCAAUUUAAUUACAUUUCCUUGAAUUAAUAGAAUUAGGUAGCUGGCACACUGUAUUCUUCCUGUAAUGCAUUAACAACAUUUUUUUAUUAGUAGUAAGAAUUUAUAGUAGUUCAAGUAAUAAUUUAUCUUGCAUUAAAUACAUCUUCUCAGAUUUAGUUGAAGCUAAGUAUUCUUUCAGAAUUUGUAUGAUAUGUUUAAAACUUUUUCGGAAAAUGCAAUAUUCUUGUUAAAACGAUUAGGAAUUUAAGACAAAAGACAUGGAUUAAUAAGUAGAGCAGUAUUUUACUUUUGUACUAGUUAAAAAAAUCUUGAAACAUUUUGAAAUAUUAAAAUGACUGAUUUAAGAGCUCUAUAAAAACAGCUAAAUUAGGCGCAAAUAAAAUUAUGCCCUUAACAGGUCAAAACACUAUAUAUAAUCUGAGUUGCCUUGAGAUUGCAUUCGAGGAGGUAAACUUAAGGAUAAAUAUCAUCUAUGAAAUCUUUUAAUGCUUAAAAUCUUAUCAGGAUAUCUAGUUCAGUUUUCAUAAUUUGAUUUUGUCAAUUUUUAUAAGUCCUCUAUUUACAAUUUAGGAGAAAAAUUAUGAGAAAAUUUACAUUUAUUUCUUCUUCAGAAUAGCAGUUUUCACUGUACAUUUGAAUUACCUUUCUAAUAAAAAAAAAUUCUCUCUUAAACCUUUUUGGUCCCAAAGUAUUGCUAUGUUUUUCUCCUACCAAAAAUAGUUCUCCAAAAUUAAGGAGAGCUGGAGGAGGAUUAAAUCUCCUCUACAAUGUUAGCCAACAUUCUUGGUAGGAUUUGGUUAAACAUUAGUGAUUAAAAAGAUACAUUGUAAGGGGUGAAUGGGUGAACAGUGAAUAAUUUCAAAUCUAAAUGAUUUAGAGAAUCCAAGAUCAUCACAUUAAUCUUGGAUUAACAUACUAAUGUGUGUUAUGACACUCAAGAUAUAAUAGUUCCUAGAAAUUAGUAGAAAAAAUACACUUAUUUAUUAAAUAUAUUUUCUUGCCUAGUAUAAUGUGAA
Acinonyx jubatus (cheetah) is the source of this 11856-nucleotide long non-coding RNA. RefSeq lists it as uncharacterized. NCBI's taxonomy places the organism in Eukaryota, Metazoa, Chordata, Mammalia, Carnivora, Felidae. The transcript has 11 exons. The record is from RefSeq and is a predicted model, not a curated record.